CCUACGGGUGGCUGCAGUCGAGAAUCAUUCACAAUGGGGGAAACCCUGAUGGUGCGACGCCGCGUGGGGGAAUGAAGGUCUUCGGAUUGUAAACCCCUGUCAUGUGGGAGCAAAUUAAAAAGAUAGUACCACAAGAGGAGGAGACGGCUAACUCUGUGCCAGCAGCCGCGGUAAUACAGAGGUCGCAAGCGUUGUUCGGAAUCACUGGGCGUAAAGCGUGCGUAGGCUGUUUCGUAAGUCGUGUGUGAAAGGCGUGGGCUCAACCCGCGGACUGCAAAUGAUACUGCGAGACUAGAGUGAUGGAGGGGGAAGCGGAAUUCUCGGUGUAGCAGUGAAAUGCGUAGAUAUCGAGAGGAACACUCGUGGCGAAGGCGGGUUCCUGGACAUUAACUGACGCUGAGGCACGAAGGCCAGGGGAGCGAAAGGGAUUAGAUACCCCUGUAGUC
RNAcentral lists this ribosomal RNA (446 nucleotides) under uncultured bacterium. RNAcentral's name for it is "partial 16S ribosomal RNA". It matches the Rfam family "Bacterial small subunit ribosomal RNA", at positions 338 to 795 of the family's 1533-position model. The record is from RNAcentral.